UAUUAAAAUUUUCAUUAAUUUCUACUAUUAAAAACUAGCAUGGCUAACAAAAUAACCAAAUAGUGGCAUGUGUAACUAAUGAUAAUAUACAGAGACCGUUUUUUAACAGUAAAAAUAAAUAAUUUAAUC
This 129-nucleotide microRNA precursor is filed under the name Gossypium arboreum. RNAcentral's name for it is "MIR7502 microRNA precursor family". It matches the Rfam family "MIR7502 microRNA precursor family". Lineage: Eukaryota; Viridiplantae; Streptophyta; Magnoliopsida; Malvales; Malvaceae. The record is from Rfam by way of RNAcentral.